This 558-nucleotide ribosomal RNA is filed under the name uncultured bacterium. RNAcentral describes it as "bacterial SSU rRNA". It matches the Rfam family "Bacterial small subunit ribosomal RNA", at positions 103 to 671 of the family's 1533-position model. The record is from RNAcentral.
AGGGAGAGUAACGCGUGGAUACCUGCCCUUGGCUCCGGGAUAGCGUCGGGAAACUGGCGGUAAUACCGGAUAAUAUCCCCGGAUCAAAGGUGUGAUUCCGGCCGAGGAUGGGUCCGCGUCCUAUUAGGUUGUUGGUGAGGUAAUGGCUCACCAAGCCAAAGAUGGGUACCGGGUGUGAGAGCAUGGCCCGGCUCACUGGGACUGAGACACUGCCCAGACACCUACGGGUGGCUGCAGUCGAGAAUCUUCCGCAAUGGGCGCAAGCCUGACGGAGCGACGCCGCGUGCGGGAUGAAGGCCUUCGGGUUGUAAACCGCUGUCAGUAGGGAGCAAAUGCAUCAGGGCAAUCUCUGGUGUUUGAGCGAUCUGCAGAGGAAGUCCGGGCUAAGUACGUGCCAGCAGCCGCGGUAACACGUACCGGACGAACGUUAUUCGGAAUCACUGGGCUUAAAGAGUCCGUAGGCGGCUCGGUAGGUGAGGUGUGAAAUCCCACGGCUCAACCGUGGAACUGCGCUUCAAACCACCGGGCUUGAGGGAGAUAGAGGUGAGCGGAACUGAU